GACUGAGCUCGGAGGCGUCGUUCGUCAUCCGGCCAUCUCCCAGCGCAAGACCGGCGUUCACAGGUCCGUCUCGGCGUCCCCGACCUCCUUGUGAUUCCAGCUUGAAGAGUGGAGCUCCGGUGAGAGAGAAAAGGAGGAGAGAAGGCGAUUGUGUUUCCGAUCCCGACCACGACGGCGAGCGUGAAUGGUACUGGUAGUCUCAUCUCGUCCUCCCCAUCCUCCCUGUGAUCUUACUUUCAGCAAAGGAGCUCCGGUGAAGGAGAAUCGAAGGAGAGAAGCUUCUGAGUUUUCCGGCGAGGGUUCAGUGUUUUCCGGCGAAGUUGUGUUCGACUCAGGUAUCAAUCUUCAUCUACUCAUCGAGCUCUACCUCUUUGUAUAAUUGAAAUCGUGUUUGGUUGAGAGAUGAAGAAGUUGGGUUUAUGGCAGCGGGUGACCGCCGUGUGUACCAUUGUGCACGGCGGUGGUGGAGGCGUUUCUAUUGUUUUCUGGUUUUGAAUUUGUAUGCUAGAGUUGGAUUGAUGAUUAGUAUGUUGUCUGGAAUUAUUGAAAUUGUAGAAUUGGAGGUAGAGGGCGGAGUUGCAGGUUGUUCGGGUUUACUGCAAGUUUUGGUGAUUUUGGAGUUCAUACUUAUGAGCUGGUUCGAUAUAUGGUAUAAUGGAGUUGUGUUUUCAUCAUUGCCGAAGUAAUUGAGGGACUAGUGAUUGGAAUACAAUUUGGAGAUGAAUCAAGAGGUGGGAGAUUUGGACGACCUAUGUAUGUGUUGGUUAGUAAGAACAAGAAAGUCUUGCUACUACCGUGGAGUUGUGCGACAAUGCAGGAAAGUUACUAACUUUGGAAUUAUUGUUUAUUUGGCUACUGUAAAUGCAAGUUGAAUGAGCUCAGAGGUUAUAAACGUAUUAAAGGUAGGGAUUUAUACAAAGUGUGGGUGUCCAUAGCAAUUUGAAGGAUGGAAUGGAAGAAUUAAUUGGACACUUGUUUUUGGGUGUCCUUAGUAGAUUUCUGAAUUCGGUGUUUAAAAUGAUUCGUCGACAUUCUUGGAAUAAGAGUUCGAUACGAGGAUUUGAGGGCACUUUGCAGUUCUAGAAGCAGAAGGAUAAAGAUUUCAGAAUGCGUGUCGCAGAGAUACUAAUUUUAGUUAGCGUUGGAACUAGCGCUCGGAUUCCAGGUAAGGUUUUUCUCGGGGAACCUUCCUUAAAUUGAUAAUUAAUUUAUAAUUGAAAUGAGUCCAUUGAGUGAUUAACUCUUGGUUGUUAUUGUUUUCGAUAAAAGUAUAUGUAAUCGGUGAUUUAUAUAAUUAAUGUUAUUGCUUUCCAUAAAAACAUGUGUUGGAUGAUAUAUUAUGAAUAUUGAUAUUUGUUGCAUUCAUAAUGCAUUGUGAGGAAUUGUGAGAUUAGUGAGAUUAAUGAUAGUGGAGAAGAUGAGAAUGAGAUCGAGAAAAGAUACAUUUUGUGUAGUUGAGUUUCCUUAUGGGUUGUCCAUGAAUCCAU
This 1487-nucleotide long non-coding RNA is filed under the name Fragaria vesca (wild strawberry). Its description in RNAcentral is "long non-coding RNA (FVES_LNC005550)". Lineage: Eukaryota; Viridiplantae; Streptophyta; Magnoliopsida; Rosales; Rosaceae. The record is from RNAcentral.